This 832-nucleotide long non-coding RNA is filed under the name Felis catus (domestic cat). Its description in RNAcentral is "lncRNA (ENSFCAG00000041394.2)". The record is from RNAcentral. Lineage: Eukaryota; Metazoa; Chordata; Mammalia; Carnivora; Felidae.
GAGAUUCACCUAACUUUAAAUGAUUUGGUGGGGCCAUUCUGAAUAGACAAUAACGAUUAGUCCUUUUUCUAAGGAGUAUCAUACAUUUCUAAGUGGAUUGUUUAUAUCUGAAUGUUUGUUGCUCAUCUCAAUUCACAUUAUAAGGUUAAGAUGUGGUUUUAUUUUAUGGUUUAAUUUAUGCUCACUUAUGCUAAUUGAGGCUUGGACUAGUAGUUUGUAAGGAGUAAACAGACUAUUUUUUUCAGAUAUUCAUAUUUUGAUCAUGGCUUAAUUGUACAAAUUGUCAUUUUUGAUAUUGCAUUGACCUUUUCCAAACAUAGCUAUUUUGUAUAAAGACUUACCUUUUUUUUAAAAAAAUCAUUUCUGCAUCUUCUUCUCUAUUUUCUUCAGUUGAGGUGUGGCUUAAACUACCUUUCAGUGGAAUAAAUACUGUGACCUCUCAGCUUCUGCCACAGCCACCGCCAAGGAGAUCCCCCUCAGAGCCCAGAAAACACACAUUCAUGAUGGCAUUGCCCAGGAACUAUGAAGUCUGUUUGGAUAUGAAGAACCUGAAACUUUUGUCUGCUCAGAUGGAAGCCAGGCUGGUGGCCACGUCAGGAAGAAUGCUUGAAAGCCUCGGAAUGUACAAAAUAAGGAUGGUGAUGAAAAGGGAAGGAUGAAAUAUUGCUUGGAGACUGUCAAGAUGAUGAUACAAUGACGGAGUAAGGAGGCUCAUCACAGUAUGCAAGAAGAGAAAGAAGAAAGUAAAUACUACGGUAAUGAAUUCUUUCCCUUUCCUGGUGGCAUUCCUAAAGAUGGAAAUCAAUAAAAGAAAAAAAUCUUUUUAAAACCA